GCACGUGUGGUUCGGUGGCUAGAGCGCCUCUCUUUCACACAGAAGACCUAGGUUCGAUCCUUGGUUGCA
RNAcentral lists this transfer RNA (69 nucleotides) under Hordeum vulgare. RNAcentral's name for it is "tRNA-OTHER". Lineage: Eukaryota; Viridiplantae; Streptophyta; Magnoliopsida; Poales; Poaceae. The record is from RNAcentral.